AUGGAGAGAGUGAUUUUCAUCAGCAUGUGUUCAAAUUUCAAAAGGGUUUGGGAUAUGUAUGGGAGCUCAAGAAAUCUUAACUGGAGAAAUUGGACCACUCACUUUAUUGAUGUACCUAAACAAACCAAUGAGCUUGAUUGUGGCAUAUAUACAGCACUCUUUCUGAAGCAUUGGAAGCCCAGGAUAUUGUUGCAUGAUAUAGUGAAGGAUGAAGAUAUCCCAAACAUCCGAAUUAGAAUGGCGAAUGAAAUGAUGUUCACUGACCAUAAUAUGAAAAAUGACCAUAAAAAGUUGGUUCUUGAGUUUCAGUCAAGCUGUUGA
Molecule: ribosomal RNA, 321 nt
Filed under: Triticum aestivum (bread wheat)
Lineage: Eukaryota; Viridiplantae; Streptophyta; Magnoliopsida; Poales; Poaceae
Description: partial small subunit ribosomal RNA
Source: RNAcentral